RNAcentral lists this ribosomal RNA (433 nucleotides) under uncultured bacterium. RNAcentral's name for it is "partial 16S ribosomal RNA". It matches the Rfam family "Bacterial small subunit ribosomal RNA", at positions 29 to 507 of the family's 1533-position model. The record is from RNAcentral.
AGCGAACGCUGGCGGCAGGCCUAACACAUGCAAGUCGAACGAACUCUUCGGAGUUAGUGGCGGACGGGUGAGUAACACGUGGGAACGUGCCUUUUGGUUCGGAAUCACUCAGGGAAACUUGUGCUAAUACCGAAUGUGCCCUUCGGGGGAAAGAUUUAUCGCCAUUAGAGCGGCCCGCGUCUGAUUAGCUAGUUGGUGAGGUAACGGCUCACCAAGGCGACGAUCAGUAGCUGGUCUGAGAGGAUGACCAGCCACACUGGGACUGAGGCACGGCCCAGACUCCUACGGGAAGCAGCAGUGGGGAAUCUUGCGCAAAGGGCGAAAGCGUGACGCAGCCACGCCGCGUGAAUGAGGAAGGUCUUAGGAUUGUAAAAUUCUUUCACCGGGGACGAUAAUGACGGUACCCGGAGAAGAAGCCCCGGCUAACUUCGUG